RNAcentral lists this ribosomal RNA (497 nucleotides) under uncultured bacterium. RNAcentral describes it as "partial 16S ribosomal RNA". It matches the Rfam family "Bacterial small subunit ribosomal RNA", at positions 28 to 507 of the family's 1533-position model. The record is from RNAcentral.
GAUGAACGCUGGCGGCGUGCCUAAUACAUGCAAGUCGAGCGAACAGACGAGGGGCUUGCUCCUCUGACGUUAGCGGCGGACGGGUGAGUAACACGUGUAUAACCUACCUAUAAGACUGGGAUAACUUCGGGAAACCGGAGCUAAUACCGGAUAAUAUAUUGAACCGCAUGGUUCAAUAGUGAAAGACGGUUUUGCUGUCACUUAUAGAUGGAUCCGCGCCGCAUUAGCUAGUUGGUAAGGUAACGGCUUACCAAGGCAACGAUGCGUAGCCGACCUGAGAGAGGGAUCGGCCACAUUGGAACUGAGACACGGUCCAGACUCCUACGGGAGGCAGCAGUAGGGAAUCGUCCGCAAUGGGCGAAAGCCUGACGGAGCAACGCCGCGUGAGUGAUGAAGGUCUUCGGAUCGUAAAACUCUGUUAUGAGGGAAGAACAAAUGUGUAAGUAACUAUGCACGUCUUGACGGUACCUAAUAAGAAAGCCACGGCUAACUACGUG